This 518-nucleotide long non-coding RNA is filed under the name Apteryx owenii (little spotted kiwi). RNAcentral's name for it is "lncRNA (ENSAOWG00000000843.1)". The record is from RNAcentral. Lineage: Eukaryota; Metazoa; Chordata; Aves; Apterygiformes; Apterygidae.
UUUCUUACUAAUAGUGAAAUUGGAAUCUAUACACAAGUGCUACUUGAAUUCGUCCGUGUAAAUAAUGGAUAUAGAUGGUGCAGGACAAGGAUUCUGGUCUCCUAGUAAGCAAGACUUCAUCGGUGUGCAAGGUGGCUGCACAAGCCAAACAGAUUCUACAGCUGAAGGAUGAUUGACAACUGCUGUAGAAAAUGAUUUUACAGUCAUAAAACAUCUUUUUAUCAGAUGACUAUUUGUCAGAUGAUGAGCUCCUACGAGACCUGGACUAGACACCACCCGCAAGCAUUAAACAGGUUUUCACAGCUUCUUUAUGAUGAUUUGUUGCUGAAAUUCCUCUUCAGCAAUGCUGGGAUAGCCACGGCCACAUACUAAAAUACUAUCUGGAUCCCUGGCCUAACACAAGUGUCUCCAGUUAAUACCGCCUCAAUCUGCAGCAAUUCCUCAGCCAUAUCCAUCCCAUGGCAAGGGGAAUGCUCUUCCUACCACGUGUUCUGCGGCUGUAUAGAAGUGGAUAAACU